RNAcentral lists this non-coding RNA (267 nucleotides) under Paenibacillus sp. RNAcentral's name for it is "T-box sequence". It matches the Rfam family "T-box leader". Rfam says of the family: Uncharged tRNA acts as the effector for transcription antitermination of genes in the T-box leader family. T-boxes are found upstream of many aminoacyl-tRNA synthetase genes and some amino acid biosynthetic genes usually in Gram-positive bacteria. The record is from RNAcentral. Lineage: Bacteria; Bacillati; Bacillota; Bacilli; Caryophanales; Paenibacillaceae.
CAUAUUUCGAUGAUAAGGAUCAGUAGUGAGUCCUGUACAUGACAGAGAGCCGACGGUUGGUGCAAGUCGGUUGACAGUAUUUCACGAACUCGCCUUGGAGAAAUGCGGUGAUUACACCAUCUUGCAACCGACGAAGCAACACUUGUGUUCAGGAAUGGAAAUCCGCAUCGGUUAACCGCCGUUACAGGUCCAAAGGGAGUGGAUGACGAAGCACGAUCGUCCGCUAACUAGGGUGGUACCACGGGAAUUCAACCUCUCGUCCCUAGC